Myripristis murdjan (pinecone soldierfish) is the source of this 81-nucleotide long non-coding RNA. RefSeq lists it as uncharacterized. Lineage: Eukaryota; Metazoa; Chordata; Actinopteri; Holocentriformes; Holocentridae. The transcript is spliced from 3 exons. The record is from RefSeq and is a predicted model, not a curated record.
AAAGAAUUAAACAGAAAAAAAAUGGGAACCGGGACUCGUUGUUGUUUAUAUUGUGAUAAUCUUCUUUGUUGGUGUUGGUUU